Molecule: long non-coding RNA, 1124 nt
Organism: Tympanuchus pallidicinctus (lesser prairie-chicken)
Lineage: Eukaryota; Metazoa; Chordata; Aves; Galliformes; Phasianidae
Exons: 3
Source: RefSeq, a predicted model, not a curated record
CAGAUAGGAAACUGAAACACAAGAGAGAUGAAGUGACUUUGCUCAAGGUCUCAGAGAAAAACAAUAGCGGAGCCAGGAAUAAAACUCGUGCCUUCUAAUUCCCAGAACAGCAGUCAAUCAACUUGGUCAAGUUGGGACUUCAUCUAUGGCUAUUACUCUCUUCUAAUGAAGCAAUUUAUCUAUGAACUGUAUCUGAAUCAGAUUCACUAGCAAAUUGAUUACACGUGCCUUAUUAACUUAUUAGAACUGACAUUCAACUUGAGCCAUCUCAUCAAACAUGACUGGAAAUAGCUGUUUCUGUGGUGUAUGGGAGCAGAGUUGCAUUGGGCUGACUAGGGCACGUCUCCAUCCUUGCAGAGUUCAAGAGCUGUUAAGACAAUGAUCAACACAACAUAACUUCCAGAUUAAGGAAUGCAGGAGGGAGAUGCACAGAACAACACAUGAGGUUGUGUUGCUGAGCCCAGUCUGGGCUGCAGUGAGGAAGGGACACGAGCCUGUUCCCCACUGCAUGCCUGGGGAUGCAGACAUAGUUGACCAUUAGCACCCCAAAAGAGAAAAUCUAGACAGAAAGGUGCAGUAGGAGAUUUGAUGAGUGAGCAAAGUGCCAGUGGAAGACGGGAUAAUUGUGGUGCACUUUGUGGGCCUGAUCUCCAGAGAAGGCAGGCUGGCAUGUGGGAGCAGCUGUGCCUCCCAGUGUCACACAGAGUCCAGAAAGUGGUUUGACCUGAUUUUUGGAAGGAGCAGGAAGAAGCUGCUUGACAACCCCUACAAAAUAUUUAGCUGAACACAACAAACAAGUCUGAGGACAGGCAAGCAAACAGUGAAUUAAUUUAUGGGAUUUUAAUGAUGGAAGAAAGGCCCAUUAAAUCCAGGAAAUAGCACAUAUGGAAGCAGCUCAAGACCGUGGAAACCAAGCGAGAAAUGUGUGGGGAAGGCACGCAAACAGCUGGGGAGGGUGCUGUCAGAAUGCCUGCUGUGCUCGGCAGCCUGGCAGAGCUUGAUGCUGUGUUUUGACUCUUGCUCCAAGUUCAGCCUGGAGGAAGUGUGCAGUGAAGAAACAGAGGCAGUGUGCAACUAGCUGGUAUUUCUCACACACUUCCAGGUUUGACAUCAGAACCCAGGUA